This 484-nucleotide ribosomal RNA is filed under the name uncultured bacterium. RNAcentral's name for it is "partial 16S ribosomal RNA". It matches the Rfam family "Bacterial small subunit ribosomal RNA", at positions 30 to 507 of the family's 1533-position model. The record is from RNAcentral.
AUUGAACGCUGGCGGCAGGCCUAACACAUGCAAGUCGAGCGGUAGAGAGAAGCUUGCUUCUCUUGAGAGCGGCGGACGGGUGAGUAAUGCCUAGGAAUCUGCCUGGUAGUGGGGGAUAACGUUCGGAAACGGACGCUAAUACCGCAUACGUCCUACGGGAGAAAGCAGGGGACCUUCGGGCCUUGCGCUAUCAGAUGAGCCUAGGUCGGAUUAGCUAGUUGGUGGGGUAAUGGCUCACCAAGGCGACGAUCCGUAACUGGUCUGAGAGGAUGAUCAGUCACACUGGAACUGAGACACGGUCCAGACUCCUACGGGAGGCAGCAGUGGGGAAUAUUGGACAAUGGGCGAAAGCCUGAUCCAGCCAUGCCGCGUGUGUGAAGAAGGUCUUCGGAUUGUAAAGCAGUUUAAGUUGGGAGGAAGGGCAGUAAAUUAAUACGUUGCUGUUUUGACGUUACCGACAGAAUAAGCACCGGCUAACUCUGUG